Long non-coding RNA from Scaptodrosophila lebanonensis, 576 nucleotides. RefSeq lists it as uncharacterized. The transcript has 2 exons. The record is from RefSeq and is a predicted model, not a curated record. NCBI's taxonomy places the organism in Eukaryota, Metazoa, Arthropoda, Insecta, Diptera, Drosophilidae.
CGCUGAUCUGAAAUCAGGCAAGUCUCCUUGGAAGUUAAAGUAUAAAACACGAGAAUUAGUUGCGGGAGACUACCUGAACUGUUAAAUUUUUAAACAAGUAAUUUUUUGUGUGAUACGUACACAACUAGGUCUAAAUAGCCUGAGCAAUAAAAAGUACAUUGGUGUUUAUUCACCAAUAGGCUUGCAAAUAUAAAAUAUACUUUACAAAGCCGACGGAAAAACGCUCGAUUAUAUGGACUCUUCUUGCAUAAUGAUCAUGAGGGGAUGUCACCGAGGAACAGCUGCUACGGCGACAGGCAAUACACUGCCAAGACCAGACGUCGGAGGAUGUAUAGAAAUAGUUUUGUUAUCCAUUAUUGUGGUUUCCUCUUGUUCUGAACUCGUAAAAUACCAAUUUUUCUUAUUAACAAGAAACAGCAGCAUCAGCACGGGUAAAUGUAAGAGUGAGAACCUGAACAGCUUACGGGAGCUCCCACUGUCGGAUUUUUGGUGAAACUCGUAAGCUAAAAAAAAAUGAAUUUUUAUUAAUAAUAUUUAGUAAUGAACGGCUAAAUAAACUGAAAAAUAAAAAUAGUU